AUACGGAGGGUGCAAGCGUUAAUCGGAAUUACUGGGCGUAAAGCGUGCGUAGGUGGUUUGUUAAGUUAGAUGUGAAAGCCCCGGGCUCAACCUGGGAACUGCAUUUGAAACUGGCAUACUAGAGUAUAGGAGAGGAAAGUGGAAUUUCAGGUGUAGCGGUGAAAUGCGUAGAUAUCUGAAGGAACAUCAAUGGCGAAGGCAGCAUUCUGGACUAAUACUGACACUGAGGUACGAAAGCGUGGGUAGCAAACAGGAUUAGAAACCCCAGUAGUCC
This 274-nucleotide ribosomal RNA is filed under the name uncultured bacterium. RNAcentral's name for it is "partial 16S ribosomal RNA". It matches the Rfam family "Bacterial small subunit ribosomal RNA", at positions 523 to 796 of the family's 1533-position model. The record is from RNAcentral.